CAAAGUGGGGUCUCCAGAUCACCCUCUGCAGAAAUGCAAAUUCUCAGUCCUUAUCCCAGACCCGCUGAAUCAGAAACUCUGAAAGUGGUGCCCAGCGAUCUGGGCCCUUCAGGGGAUUCUGAUGCACAAAUGUGAGACCCAGUGAAACACAUAACCUAGAAGGUUCAGCCUGCUUGUUCUCUCACAAGUAUGGGAGCAUUAACUGGCACACCUGAAUGACCUCUGGAAUUUCAAGCCUAGGAGCCCACAUAGCUGCCACUAGAAGAAGGAGGAGUGUCCCAACUCAGCGCAUCUUUCUCCUGCUGCUAGAGUUCAAGACCCUGCGCAAGAAUGCACACAAACUAACUUUUAAGCCUUGACCAGAGGCAGGAAAGCAUGGGCUAGGGGAGAAAGGUCCUGAUGGGCCUCACCUGGUACUGAGGAGAAAGCAGAACCUCUCUUCCCCAGGCCUUAGAAGGAACGAAGGUGGGCCAGCAGGUCCAGCCCUCCCCCCUGACUGGAGGACUGACACGAGGCCAACCUUCCCAGAUGCCAUCCUGCUCAAGGCCAGGGUCUGCCCCACUGCUGGCAACAGAGUUUCUGAAUGCCAGGGAGAGGGGCCGCCAGGCCUCUAAACUGCCUGCCAACAAGGUGCCGAGAACACCAGCACGGAGAAUGGGUUCCUUUGCUGAAAGCCACUCUAAAGAAACCUGAGACACCUCUCCGCUGGAAGUCACAACAGCUCUUUGCACCCCUGAACACGUCAAAUCACAGACAGCCCUCACCCCACUGUCUCCGGUUACCCCGGCCUGGUCCGAGAUGAAGA
Phyllostomus discolor (pale spear-nosed bat) is the source of this 805-nucleotide long non-coding RNA. RefSeq lists it as uncharacterized. The transcript is spliced from 2 exons. The record is from RefSeq and is a predicted model, not a curated record. Lineage: Eukaryota; Metazoa; Chordata; Mammalia; Chiroptera; Phyllostomidae.